Molecule: ribosomal RNA, 492 nt
Filed under: uncultured bacterium
Lineage: Bacteria
Description: bacterial SSU rRNA
Rfam family: Bacterial small subunit ribosomal RNA
Source: RNAcentral
CGGCGUGCCUAACACAUGCAAGUCGAGCGGGGACAUUGCGACGGAGACGAAGUACUCGUACGGAGUCAAAGAUGUAAUGUCUAGCGGCGGACGGGUGAGUAACGCGUGAGCAACCUGUCCCUUACAGGGGAUAACACAGCGAAAGUUGUACUAAUACCGCAUAAGACCACAGGAUGACAUCGUCCAGGGGUCAAAGGAGCAAUCCGGUAAGGGGUGGGCUCGCGUCCGAUUAGAUAGUUGGUGAGGUAACGGCCCACCAAGUCGACGAUCGGUAGCCGACCUGAGAGGGUGAUCGGCCACAUUGGGACUGAGACACGGCCCAAACUCCUACGGGAGGCAGCAGUGGGGAAUAUUGGGCAAUGGGGGGAAACCCUGACCCAGCAACGCCGCGUGAGGGAAGAAGGUUUUCGGAUCGUAAACCUCUGUCCCAGGUGAAGAGGAAGAGACGGUAGCCUGGGAGGAAGCCCCGGCUAACUACGUGCCAGCAGCCGC